UACGGAGGGUGCAAGCGUUGUUCGGAAUCAUUGGGCGUAAAGCGCGUGUAGGCGGCUUGGCAAGUCGGUUGUGAAAGCCCGGGGCCCAACCCCGGAACUGCAUCUGAAACUGCCUGGCUAGAGUCCCGGAGAGGAAGGCAGAAUUCCCGGUGUAGGGGUGAAAUCCGUAGAUAUCGGGAGGAAUACCAGCGGCGAAGGCGGCCUUCUGGACGGUGACUGACGCUGAGACGCGAAAGCGUGGGGAGCAAACAGGA
RNAcentral lists this ribosomal RNA (254 nucleotides) under uncultured prokaryote. RNAcentral's name for it is "partial 16S ribosomal RNA". It matches the Rfam family "Bacterial small subunit ribosomal RNA", at positions 524 to 777 of the family's 1533-position model. The record is from RNAcentral.